Molecule: ribosomal RNA, 253 nt
Filed under: uncultured bacterium
Lineage: Bacteria
Description: partial 16S ribosomal RNA
Rfam family: Bacterial small subunit ribosomal RNA
Source: RNAcentral
UACAGAGGGUGCAAGCGUUGUUCGGAAUUACUGGGCGUAAAGCGCGUGUAGGCGGCUAAGUAAGUCGGGCGUGAAAUCCCACGGCUCAACCGUGGAAGUGCACUCGAAACUGCAUAGCUAGAGUCCUGGAGAGGAAGGUGGAAUGCUUGGUGUAGAGGUGAAAUUCGUAGAUAUCAAGCGGAACACCGGUGGCGAAGGCGGCCUUCUGGACAGUGACUGACGCUGAGACGCGAAAGCGUGGGGAGCAAACAGG